Molecule: ribosomal RNA, 331 nt
Filed under: uncultured bacterium
Lineage: Bacteria
Description: bacterial SSU rRNA
Rfam family: Bacterial small subunit ribosomal RNA
Source: RNAcentral
AGAGUUUGAUUAUGGCUCAGGACGAACGCUGGCGGCGCGCCUAACACAUGCAAGUCGAACGGAACUUAGAGAGCUUGCUUUUUAAGCUUAGUGGCGAACGGGUGAGUAACGCGUGAGUAACCUGCCCUAGAGUGGGGGACAACAGUUGGAAACGACUGCUAAUACCGCAUAAGCCCACGGUGCCGCAUGGCACUGAGGGAAAAGGAUUUAUUCGCUUUAGGAUGGACUCGCGUCCAAUUAGCUAGUUGGUGAGGUAACGGCCCACCAAGGCGACGAUUGGUAGCCGGACUGAGAGGUUGAACGGCCACAUUGGGACUGAGACACGGCCCAG